RNAcentral lists this ribosomal RNA (680 nucleotides) under Acholeplasmatales bacterium. RNAcentral describes it as "bacterial SSU rRNA". It matches the Rfam family "Bacterial small subunit ribosomal RNA", at positions 1 to 706 of the family's 1533-position model. The record is from RNAcentral. Lineage: Bacteria; Bacillati; Mycoplasmatota; Mollicutes; Acholeplasmatales.
UUUUUGGAGAGUUUGAUACUGGCUCAGGAUUAACGCUGGCGGCAUGCCUAAUACAUGCAAGUCGAAUGGGGAGCUUGCUCUCCAUGGCGAACGGGUGAGUAAUACGUAGGUAACCUACCUUUAGGACGAGGAUAACCUUUGGAAACGAAGGAUAAUACUGGAUAGUAUGGAAGAACGCAUGUUUUCCCAUUUAAAGAUUUAUCACCUAAAGAGGGGCCUGCGGUGCAUUAGCUAGUUGGCGGGAUAAAAGCCCACCAAGGCGAUGAUGCAUAGCCGGACUGAGAGGUUGUACGGCCACAAUGGAACUGAGAACGGUCCAUACUCCUACGGGAGGCCGCAGUAGGGAAUUUUCGGCAAUGGACGCAAGUCUGACCGAGCAAUGCCGCGUGAAUGAAGAAGUAUUUCGGUAUGUAAAGUUCUUUUAUCUAGGAAGAAAAAACAAAUUGACGGUACUAGAUGAAUAAGCUCCGGCUAACUACGUGCCAGCAGCCGCGGUAAUACGUAGGGAGCGAGCGUUAUCCGGAUUUAUUGGGCGUAAAGGGUGCGCAGACGGCACGAAAAGUAUGCUGUAAAAUCGAAGGGCUCAACCCUUUCUGGCAGUAUAGACUAUCGAGCUAGAGUAGUCAAGAGGCAAACGGAACUCCAUGUGUAGCGGUAAAAUGCGUAAAUAUAUGGAAGAA